RNAcentral lists this ribosomal RNA (253 nucleotides) under uncultured bacterium. RNAcentral's name for it is "partial 16S ribosomal RNA". It matches the Rfam family "Bacterial small subunit ribosomal RNA", at positions 524 to 776 of the family's 1533-position model. The record is from RNAcentral.
UACAGAGGUCUCAAGCGUUGUUCGGAUUCAUUGGGCGUAAAGGGUGCGUAGGCGGCGCGGUAAGUCGGGUGUGAAAUCUUGGAGCUUAACUCCGAAACUGCAUUCGAUACUGCCGUGCUUGAGGACUGGAGAGGAGACUGGAAUUUACGGUGUAGCGGUGAAAUGCGUAGAUAUCGAGAGGAACACCGGUGGCGAAGGCGAGGCCCUGGACAACACCUGACACUGAGGCACGAAAGCUAGGGGAGCAAACAGG